AAAGCCGAAUACGCAGAGCAUACAGCGUGCCACGUCAGAUUUUUUAUUCAGGCCAAUCAGAUUCUUUUCCUUCGCCACGUCAGACUCACGGUUUUUCUCUGUCUAAAGUCGAUUAAUAUUUCGCGGGCUUCGUUAUUACGCUUUGGGCUUUAUGUGAUUUCACUUUGGGCUUCGGGGUGUUUUGUGUUUGCGACAAAAAUCAGAUCCGAUCUCGAAGGAUGACGAUUCUCCUCACCCUCAUCACUUCGUUUUCUCGGAUCGAAGAGCAACGAGUCGUAGAAUCAAUCGAUUCAAUCCUCCGCAAUCAAUACUUUCAUUUCAAAUCCCUGCAAUUCAUGCGUGCAUUCAGCUUCACACCGUCGUGGUCGUUAUUUUGCUCCGUCACCUGAACCUCCACGAUUCUUCUUCUCUGUCACCGGAGUCCGUAGUUCGAGUCAUCGUGGUCUCAAUCUCGCUCCCGAGCUUCUCCUCCAUCGCCAUGGCUUAGGUUCAGUCUGCUACUUUCCACCAUGAGAGCGCCGGUUCAAGCUUCACCAUCGUGCUCAGCCUUCGCCGUCGUCGGGAUCAGUGACCCUGUUGCGGAUCGGAAUGAGGAAGAACGACAAUGGUGAUUUCAGCACUAUUUGCAAGUCUGGUCCUUCACAUUUCCAUUGCUUUCACUUCUGCCCCCGGACUUUUGAUAUUACAUAAAUAACCCCAAAUCAACCUCCGUACUUUUGAUUGUGCAUGUCUAUGUUUACAGGUGCAGAAAAAGCUCUAAGGUGGUCUUCUUCCGCUUGAAGUUCAGACAUUAAGCCAACAGAGUAAAUAAACUGAAGCAAGGUACCAGAAGAGCAAGGAUUGCAACAAAAAAAGUCAACGCCUUGCUUCAGCUUUCCUCCCAACAAUUGGCUGUCGUAUACAAGCUGUAAUCUCACAUUAUUAUUUUUUUCUUCGUCAAGCAAUCUAGCAUUGUUUAUGACAAAAAAAUUGUGAAGAUUUUUUGGCAUCACUGUUCAAGACAAGGAGGGCAUAAAGAAAUCGUAUGGCAUAACUCAUGGGGUCUCAAUACCAGAUUGAUGGAUGAGGGAUGGAAUGUUGCGAGUUCAGGUUCAUGCUAACUGCCGUCUCAGAAGGAUUUAUUUUGCUGAACGUCUCUACUCAGAUGAAGAGCUUCCUCCGGAGUUCAAACUCUAUCUCCCAGUGCAGAAAGCAUGAGUGUGUUUCUGCCGUUGUCUUGGAAACUACUUUAGAUAGACCUAAAGCAUCUUAGGUGGGAGGUUCAGGAUGGCUUGUAGCAUCCAUGGUAUUAGGAAUUUGCCAUCAAAGCCGAGAACACAAUUAUAGAAAUGUACCUUAGAUUACAUACAGAAAGGAUAUUUUACUGGCCAAUGACCCGCUUGGCGCCGUCUAAGGUGUUUCUGAGCAGCAUUGCCACUGUCAUUAGGCCUACACCACCAGGGACACCAUUAGAAGCUUCUGAAAAAUCAACAUCACCAACCAACCGGUAUCCUGAUUUCAUAUAAAAUUUUGAUUAUAGAAUUUCUAUAAUAUUCUCAAUCAAAAAUAUAAGAAUAAUAAUAAAUUUUUGGGUUCUAAUUCUCUUAAAUUUGAUUGACAGAAAUAGUUUAAAUUUUUAAUAUUUAUCUGAAGAUUUUUAUUUUUAUAAUCAGUACCAUCAUAUAUGUAUACACUCAAAUAAAAAUAGAAAAUCCCUAUGCUUUGUUAUCA
Molecule: long non-coding RNA, 1710 nt
Organism: Brassica rapa (field mustard)
Lineage: Eukaryota; Viridiplantae; Streptophyta; Magnoliopsida; Brassicales; Brassicaceae
Source: RefSeq, a predicted model, not a curated record